Molecule: long non-coding RNA, 643 nt
Organism: Eublepharis macularius
Lineage: Eukaryota; Metazoa; Chordata; Lepidosauria; Squamata; Eublepharidae
Exons: 5
Source: RefSeq, a predicted model, not a curated record
UGAAGGUCCAGAAGAACUUGAUGUACUUACCUGCUACGUUCUGCAAGUUUCUAAACAGUGUCUCAAGGGCACUGCUUGGCUCAGAGGGCACCUCUUCUACAGGCCUGGCAUGACCAGAAUCAGAAUCGGAACUCUGCUUAUCAUCGUCUUCAGCCUCGUCCUCAGAAUCCAUGAGAAGGGGCCGGUGGCCAAAAUUCUCAGCACACCAAGGAAGGAACUCUAUGAUGUUUGAAUUCCAUCUCACCCUCUAACAAUAUUUGGCUUCUUUGCAAACUGAUCUAUAAACCAUCAAGUAAGGGACCCAGAGCAACUUACAGUGUCCUCCUCUCCUACAUUUUGUCUUCACAAGCCUAGAAGAUAGGUUAAGCUGCAGUACAUCCAGAAUGACAAGUUCCAACGUGUACUCCAAGGAGCACAGAGGCUUUCCAUUCUACCAAAGGAAAAUGAUCAGCAUGCAAUGGAAAAAAACUGGAUGCUCAUGGUGUUUUUCUCUGCCUAUAUGAUAUAAGAGAAGAAGAAAGGCUCUGGAGCACUGCCACUGUGUUCCAGAAACUAAGGCCUAAAACAACUUCUCAGGGAAAAGCAUUUUAAAUGUAUAUAGUAAACAUAUUCAAGAGAAGCCAUAACCCAAAAGUGUUAUAAA